Molecule: long non-coding RNA, 1313 nt
Organism: Mytilus californianus (California mussel)
Lineage: Eukaryota; Metazoa; Mollusca; Bivalvia; Mytilida; Mytilidae
Exons: 6
Source: RefSeq, a predicted model, not a curated record
AAAAAAUAUGAAACAUAUAUGCGGAAUAAUACCGUUUGUGGCGUCAAUUUUAAGUUCUUUAAGUGUGGAAUGUCUAUUAUUGGACGGUCCAGGUGUUUGCAUCAGACAACAAAUGUCAAAAAUGACAAAUACAGUGCAAAAUGAGACAUUUUUCUGCUGUGGUGGUUAUAAAGAAGUAAAUGACACCUGUGUUGAUUGUCCUGAGUGUUCAUCUAUGAGGUGCCCGCAGAAUUUUUGUGGUGAUACAUGUAUAGAGAUGUGUGAUUGUCCCGAAAAUGCAUACUGUGAUAGCCUUUAUUGCUGUGUUUGUAAACCUGGUUUCAUUGGAUUUUUCUGUAAUAAAACAUGUUUUACUGGAUCUUAUGGUCCUGGAUGUAGAAAAAAAAUGCAUCUGCCAAAGCCAGCAGAUGUGUGACCCGGUAACAGGUAGCUGUACCCCGAACAGUAGAGCAUGUGAAGAUGGAUAUUAUGGACAAGAAUGUAGCAACAAAUGUAUGUGUCAGAGGGAGCAGCAGUGUGAUCAAGUCACAGGCAACUGUACUUCAAAUGUGUACAAACCUGGAAACCAACCUCAAAAGACAGAAGUAUUCAAAUUAAUCGUAAUUACUGUAAUACUAGUGGCCAUCGUGAUUAUAAUUUCAGCAUGAAUAUCAGUAGUAAUAACUAUUUUGAGGAAUUGCAAAGAGAAAUACAGAACAACAGAACCAGUGGGCUACUUUGGUGAAAUAAAUCCUCAUGAUGAAAUUAGUCUUGAAGAGUUUGAAACACAGCAAGAACCGUUAUAUUCCACGCCAUCAUAUGCUAACGGUGUUAUGCGCCCGCGACAAUCAACAGAGCGCAAUGGCAUAAUGGAGACAACGAAUAUCACUGAUGCUCAUGCGAGAUCUCAUCCAGAUAGAGGUUGUAAAAUCCACAAGUAUAGGUCCUUGCCAAUCCUUAGCAGCAUGCACAGAUCACUUGAACAAGAUAACAAGCUGAAAAGGUUCAACACAAGUAGUUGUGAUCAAUUAACACGGCAAACUCUCUAUAUAACUGAAAGUGAUUACCUUAAUCCUUAUUGUAGUUUACUACGAUCAGAAGUUAGUGGGAGUGAUUAUCUUAAUCCAUAUACUACACUUCUAACGACAACCGACGAAGGAAAUAUCUAUGAAAAUUAAAGAAAAGGAGCCGGUAGACUAGCUAUUAUAUAACCUAGUCUGUUUAUAGCAUUUACGAAAAUGAAAGUCAGCAAAUCAUCAAUUCAUCAAAAAUAUCUAUCUAUCAUAUUAUAAAUCUUAAAAAUAUUGCCUACAAAAAACGAUUAAGAAUGGGAA